CUGUGCUGUUCUCGUGAUAGUGAGUAAGUAUCACGAGAUCUGACGGUUUUAUAAAGCGUAGUUUUCCCUGUACAAGCUCUCGCCUGCCGCCAUGUAAACGUUCUUUGCUCCUGCUUCGUCUUCUGCCGUGAUUGUGAGGCCUCCCCAGCCAUGUGGAACUACUCAUCACUCACUGCAGAUGUUACUUUAAGACAUUCUGGAGCAGCGUCAUGUGCAGUCAUGUGAAAGUAUAUUCCAAACCCAGAACCUGAGCACAGAUUGGGACUGAGAAACACUUGUCUAGAUUGUCAGGCAAUCUGUAACAUCAGCAGUGGAUGGAAAGAAGGAGAAAGAUGAGUUUUAUGGACGCUAACCCAUCUAUAUGGCUUUGGAAAAUAAAGUACUGCUGUUUUUUUUUGUAAA
RNAcentral lists this long non-coding RNA (402 nucleotides) under Homo sapiens (human). Its description in RNAcentral is "HSALNT0325591". Lineage: Eukaryota; Metazoa; Chordata; Mammalia; Primates; Hominidae. The record is from RNAcentral.